RNAcentral lists this ribosomal RNA (496 nucleotides) under uncultured bacterium. Its description in RNAcentral is "partial 16S ribosomal RNA". It matches the Rfam family "Bacterial small subunit ribosomal RNA", at positions 29 to 507 of the family's 1533-position model. The record is from RNAcentral.
AUGAACGCUGGCGGCGUGCCUAAUACAUGCAAGUCGAGCGAACAGAUAAGGAGCUUGCUCCUUUGACGUUAGCGGCGGACGGGUGAGUAACACGUGGGUAACCUACCUAUAAGACUGGGAUAACUUCGGGAAACCGGAGCUAAUACCGGAUAACAUUUGGAACCGCAUGGUUCUAAAGUGAAAGAUGGUUUUGCUAUCACUUAUAGAUGGACCCGCGCCGUAUUAGCUAGUUGGUAAGGUAACGGCUUACCAAGGCGACGAUACGUAGCCGACCUGAGAGGGUGAUCGGCCACACUGGAACUGAGACACGGUCCAGACUCCUACGGGAGGGAGCAGUAGGGAAUCUUCCGCAAAGGGCGAAAGCCUGACGGAGCAACGCCGCGUGAGUGAUGAAGGGGUUCGGCUCGUAAAACUCUGUUAUUAGGGAAGAACAACUGUGUAAGUAACUGUGCACGUCUUGACGGUACCUAAUCAGAAAGCCACGGCUAACUACGUG